CUUGUGUCUACAUGCGACGCGACACAUCCGAUGGAGGCUUCCCGUUGCGUUGGUUGCUAAUGGGACGGCGACGUCACAGUACCGUGAAAGGUUGGCAGUGUCCCACCCUAAAAAAUAUCAAACUAUCCUGAGCGUGGAUGUCUCGAGUCCGACACCCGAGUGCAGUGGCCGCAUAUCGAUGGGGGCGGAAUCACAACAUGCUCAAGGGAAACCGUUUCCGCGAACUGUCCGACUCUAGGGGAGGCCCUUUCCGCGAACCAACGUCGCCUAGAAGAAAGGAUCAGCCGCCCAUCCUCGACCAGACUCCUUGGGUUGCCGCCAGAGGAGGCAAGUACGCGCAACGUCACCUGGGAGAAGGGAACAGCCGCCUACGAUCCCGGACUCGCGGGAUCGUGACAGCCGGGAUAAGCCCGGGCAACGUCGCCUAGAAGAAAGGAUCAGGCGCCUAUGAUCCCCGACCCGCGGGUUCUCGCCAGCGGAGGCAAGCAAGUGGAACGUCACCUGGGAGAAAGUCUCAGCCGCCCAUCCACAACCAGACUCAGUGCCUGUCACGUGACGUUGACGUGAGCGAGAUCUCGCCUACAAUUUUAGUGGGCCUAUUUAAGGGGCCCCGCAAUGUACUU
Dermacentor albipictus is the source of this 623-nucleotide long non-coding RNA. RefSeq lists it as uncharacterized. NCBI's taxonomy places the organism in Eukaryota, Metazoa, Arthropoda, Arachnida, Ixodida, Ixodidae. The record is from RefSeq and is a predicted model, not a curated record.